RNAcentral lists this ribosomal RNA (464 nucleotides) under uncultured bacterium. Its description in RNAcentral is "partial 16S ribosomal RNA". It matches the Rfam family "Bacterial small subunit ribosomal RNA", at positions 339 to 795 of the family's 1533-position model. The record is from RNAcentral.
CUACGGGCGGCUCCAGUGGGGAAUAUUGCGCAAUGGGCGAAAGCCUGACGCAGCGACGCCGCGUGGAGGAUGAAGGUCUUCGGAUUGUAAACUUCUGUUAGGUGGGAAGAAAGGCAUAGUCAUAAUACGGCUAUGAAAUGACGGUACCAUCAGAGAAAGCACUGGCUAAACUCGUGCCAGCAGCCGCGGUAAUACGAGUGGUGCAAGCGUUAUUCGGUGUGAUUGGGCGUAAAGGGUGUGUAGGCGGCAGAUUAAGUCAGUUGUUAAAUUCCUCGGCCUAACCGAGGGCCAGCAGCUGAUACUGGUUUGCUAGAGGAUGGAAGAGAGAAGUGGAAUUCUCGGAGUAGCGGUAAGAUGCGUAGAUCUCGAGAGGAACACCGAUGGCGAAGGCAGCUUCUUGGUCCAUUUCUGACGCUGAGGCACGAAAGCGUGGGUAGCAAACAGGAUUAGAUACCCGAGUAGUC